Molecule: ribosomal RNA, 117 nt
Filed under: uncultured bacterium
Lineage: Bacteria
Description: partial 16S ribosomal RNA
Rfam family: Bacterial small subunit ribosomal RNA
Source: RNAcentral
UACGUUCCCGGGCCUUGUACACACCACCCGUCAAGUCACGAAAGUCGGUAACACCCGAAGCCGGUGGCCCAACCCUUGUGGAGGAAGCCGUCGAAGGUGGGACUGGCGAUUGGGACU